RNAcentral lists this ribosomal RNA (253 nucleotides) under uncultured bacterium. Its description in RNAcentral is "partial 16S ribosomal RNA". It matches the Rfam family "Bacterial small subunit ribosomal RNA", at positions 524 to 776 of the family's 1533-position model. The record is from RNAcentral.
CACGUAGGGCGCAAGCGUUGUCCGGAAUUAUUGGGCGUAAAGAGCUCGUAGGCGGUCUGUUGCGUCCGCUGUGAAAACCCGGGGCUUAACCCUGGGCUGGCAGUGGAUACGGACAGACUAGAGGUAGGUAGGGGAGAAUGGAAUUCCCGGUGUAGCGGUGAAAUGCGCAGAUAUCGGGAGGAACACCGGUGGCGAAGGCGGGUUGCUGGGCUGACACUGACGCUGAUGCGCGAAAGCCAGGGGAGCGAACGGG